Pelobates cultripes (western spadefoot toad) is the source of this 322-nucleotide non-coding RNA. The record is from the annotation of a GenBank genome assembly. NCBI's taxonomy places the organism in Eukaryota, Metazoa, Chordata, Amphibia, Anura, Pelobatidae.
GGUAGGGUUAGGGUUAGGUUUAGGGGUAGGGAUAAGGGUUGGGGUAGGGUUAGGGGUAGUGUAAGGUGUAGGUUAGGAGUAGGGUUAGGAAUAGAGUUAAGCCUACCCCAACCACUAACCCUAAUCUUAACCCCUUACCCUACUCUAACCACUAACCCUACCCCAACUGCUAACCCUACCCCUAAACCUAACCUUACUCUAACCCUACUCCUACCCAACCACUAACCCUACCUUAACCCAACCUCUAACCCUACCCCUAACCCUACCACUACCCCAACCACUAACCCUACCUUAACCCUAACCCUACCCUGUGCUCCUAACC